UACGGGGGGAGCAAGCGUUGUUCGGAUUUACUGGGCGUAAAGGGCGCGUAGGCGGUCGUGACAAGUCACUUGUGAAAUCUCCGGGCUUAACUCGGAACGGUCAAGUGAUACUGUCGGACUAGAGUACAGAAGGGGCAACUGGAAUUCUCGGUGUAGCGGUGAAAUGCGUAGAUAUCGAGAGGAACACCGGUGGCGAAGGCGGGUCUCUGGGCCGAUACUGACGCUGAGGAGCGAAAGCGUGGGGGAGCGAACAGG
Molecule: ribosomal RNA, 255 nt
Filed under: uncultured bacterium
Lineage: Bacteria
Description: partial 16S ribosomal RNA
Rfam family: Bacterial small subunit ribosomal RNA
Source: RNAcentral